CAAGGGCGUAGGAACCGGGGGGGACGGGUGGGACGUGUCCCCUCCAAUAUUGGACAAACGCGCAUUUGUCCCCCCCAAUAACAUGGAGAAGAAAAAGAUUGAUUUUGAAAUAUUUGACUCGCGAGCUUUUAUUUUGAAAGACACCGCGGACUUCUCUCCGACACAGCCCCUCCCCUCAGGGAGCAGGCUGGCUGAGUGAAGCAGGAGUCAGAGCCGGGGCAGACGCAGGUGUCGGAAAGACGGCAGCAGCUCAGUGAGUUCCUCUCAUGGGCAAAAGAAGAAAGAAAGGAAUUGUGAGUCGGUAAUAAUUUAGUCCAAGAGUAAUAUUGUAUUUUUGGUCAAACGCUAAAAUGGCUGACUAACGUAAACAUCUUGCUAGUUAGCAUUAAACAUUAAACAACACUACUAGUCAACAAAAAAUGGCGAAUUUUACAGUAGCAGAAAAAAAAAGUUUGGCACGAAAUAAAUUAAAAAGUAGAAUCUCCACAUAAAAAUGGAGUUUGUAAGUGUGAUUUUUGCUUGUUUGUCACAUUCUCAUCACAUUCAUUUUUAAACCUUAUUCAUGUCAUGUCACUUUAUUCAUAUAAGAGACCAGAGGAAGUUCAGCAGGAAUAUGAUGAAGAAGGUGAGACAGGCAGCGCCCGACCUGCUGAGGGUGAGACAGGGAGCACCAGACCUGCUGAGGGUGAGACAGGGAGCACCAGACCUGCUUUGGACCUGUUGAGGUGCAGAUAUUUUAAAAGCAAGCGAUCCUGAUUUACAUGACGGUCCCGAGAAGAGGACGUCUCGACUUGAUCAAAGAUGAAAGACGAUUGAUCGUCUGAGGUCGAAGGGAACAGAAGGAAUUGGGUCAGUAGAGUCCCUGUUCUAAAAAAUAAACAUCUUCAUUUGAUUAAACUUGGAAUUUUACCGUAGAAAAUGGCUGCUUUACAGUUUUGUUAAUAUUUGAAUCUACUGGAAUGUGAAACGUACAGUUGGUAUCACAGUCAUGACUCUAAAAGUUGACUGUCGGUGCACGAACUCUCGAAUCAUGAAGUGCAGACGAGUGAAAGCUCAAAUCCAUAUUUUCCCACUAACUAGCCUUUAGGGAUUUAAGAUGGUUUGGCAUCUUUACCUAGCCUGGAGAGGACUCGGAGGUGUUUUCAGAAUUCCAACUUGAAUAUUUAUCCCAAGCUGGGUUCUUUUGGAAAAGCCUUCCAUUCACGUGCAAAACGCUGCAGGGCCUAAAAGUCGUGCAGCAGAUUUAGAGAAGCUGCUUAUGAUGAUGGGCACUUUUUAACGUAACAGUCAACAUACAGAAUUAGUGUUUAAAAAUAUUUAUCCUGUUCCACUAUUAAAUAACCCUUUUUCAUUAGUUUUUUCUUUCUAACCUUAUCUGUGUUUAAUCGAGUAAAGCUCUGAACUUUGACCUGAUAAACCCUAAAGACUAAGUUCACUCGUUUUUUUCAAUUCAAUAGCA
This 1459-nucleotide long non-coding RNA is filed under the name Nothobranchius furzeri (turquoise killifish). Its description in RNAcentral is "lncRNA (ENSNFUG00015017860.1)". The record is from RNAcentral. Lineage: Eukaryota; Metazoa; Chordata; Actinopteri; Cyprinodontiformes; Nothobranchiidae.